RNAcentral lists this ribosomal RNA (253 nucleotides) under uncultured bacterium. Its description in RNAcentral is "partial 16S ribosomal RNA". It matches the Rfam family "Bacterial small subunit ribosomal RNA", at positions 524 to 776 of the family's 1533-position model. The record is from RNAcentral.
UACGAAGGGGGCUAGCGUUGUUCGGAAUUACUGGGCGUAAAGCGCACGUAGGCGGAUUGUUAAGUUAGGGGUGAAAUCCCAGGGCUCAACCCUGGAACUGCCUUUAAUACUGGCAAUCUCGAGUCCGAGAGAGGUGAGUGGAAUUCCGAGUGUAGAGGUGAAAUUCGUAGAUAUUCGGAGGAACACCAGUGGCGAAGGCGGCUCACUGGCGCGGUACUGACGCUGAGGUGCGAAAGCGUGGGGAGCAAACAGG